GUCAAACAAAUCGACUGCAGGACUUAUUUUUUUCAAAGCCUGGUACUUAUUCUAUCGAUCUUUUUUUGCCGAACCGCGGUUCGGCAAAGGAGAGCCACAGAAUAAAUACCAAACUUCAAGUGUCGAAACCAUAAUGAUAUCCGUGGGGCAGCUGAUGAUGGAGAAUUGUUGGUAUGGCUGUUUUUUGUAUAUGUAGAAUAGUUUUAUAACACAUCCUUUUGAUAUAUGAGGACACCAAAAUCUUUAAAAGUGCUUUGGGCCUCUAUGCGUCUUAAUCCGGUCCUGUUUCUGAUAAAGAUUUACACUAGAUAAAACUCAUAUUUCUAAGUUUCCUACAGCUGUUCGGAUUAAUCCGAUAUAAUAAAUGGCUACUAUGUU
Molecule: long non-coding RNA, 378 nt
Organism: Octopus bimaculoides (California two-spot octopus)
Lineage: Eukaryota; Metazoa; Mollusca; Cephalopoda; Octopoda; Octopodidae
Source: RefSeq, a predicted model, not a curated record